AUGAUCAUCCCCGACAUGCUCAAGAAUGCGCCCAUGUUCGAGCGCCUCGAGGCCAGGAUAAGGGGCAAGGGGUUGGUCAUCCGUGUCGGGCGCGGCCGCGCCGUCGCGAUGCGUGCCCGGUAA
Molecule: ribosomal RNA, 123 nt
Filed under: Triticum aestivum (bread wheat)
Lineage: Eukaryota; Viridiplantae; Streptophyta; Magnoliopsida; Poales; Poaceae
Description: partial small subunit ribosomal RNA
Source: RNAcentral